RNAcentral lists this long non-coding RNA (12472 nucleotides) under Vitis vinifera (wine grape). Its description in RNAcentral is "long non-coding RNA (VVIN_LNC007496)". The record is from RNAcentral. Lineage: Eukaryota; Viridiplantae; Streptophyta; Magnoliopsida; Vitales; Vitaceae.
UGCCUAUUACGAGGAACUGAAAUGAAACAACAUAAUUUAGGUUUUAGUUUAUUGUUGCAAAUUUUUAAUUCUCACAUUCUCUAAUCUAUAUCCUACAUGUUUUCAAAUCAAAUAUGAAUUGAAUUAAACAAUAUUUACAAUGCAUAUUAAUUUCCCUAAUUAAUUACCAAACACUAAUUCUUUUGAUUUUCUUAAAGCCUAACCUAUUAACAAAUCCCAAGUGUCCAAAUAACCCAAUUCAUCACAUGUUUACUAAUCUAUUUUUCAAUCAAACCAAAUUAAACAAAGAUUUAUGCUGAUCUUACCCUUAAUAAAAUACUUAACUUAAAAUACUUUAAUCUUUAAUUAAUUGUGAUUUUUAACUAAAACGGGUUUAUAGCUAAUUAUACUCAACUUUUAAACAAUUUUUACCAUUAAUUCUUCUAAACAUACCUUUAGGAACCAAAAUAAACGAAAAUUACAAAAUUAAACAACUUGCUUACCUCAAAUCUACACUUUCUCUCUCUAGAUUCUCUCUCUAACCCAAGUUGCUGCAGGUGAAAUGGUGCAAAGAGAGCUGCAGCCCCCUUAUAAAGGGGGUCUCCAAGAACCCAAGCAUGAGGUGGCAGCCCACAUGGCUGCCACCAAUCCACCCAAGUAGGAGGUGGCAUUCCACUAACUCAAAUUUCCAAAUUUGCACUUUAGUCCUUCAAGUUAUCAAAAAUAAAACCCAUAAUUGCUCAUCAGUCCUUUAGGUUUUCAUAACCCUAAUUAGUCCCUAAGAACCUAAUAAGCAUGCUUAGAUCAUUAACUAAUCCCACUUAACCUUAAUCAAAGUUUAAUUCAUAAUUAAACAUGAUUAGCACUAAACUAGUUUUAACAUCUAAAUAAGCAAGCUUAAGUUAAGUACUAAAAUAAUCAUUAUUGCCUAUUUAAUUCAUUAGUACUAAGUGUUACAGGUUUCGCAUCGUUUGGACACCAUCUAGGUCUGAUGGAUGUUUAUUCUUUCUCAUUUUUGGACGACAUCGUAGGUUCUUUCUAAGGUCAUUCAUUCUUCACUUUUGUUUGUCAUCAUUGAGACGCCCCCUAGGCGCUAUCUAAGCUAAAUUGUUUGUUCCUUUAAUUUCUCACUGUUUAGACACCAUCCUAGGUUCUGCGCAUGUUUAUACUUCAUCCAUUUUGUUUCGUAUCAUUGGAACACCAUCUCGGUUUAAUCUAAGUUCAUUUGUCUAUUCCACUCGUUUUUCAUCAUUGGGACAACUUUCUAGGUUCUAUCUAUGCUCAUUCCAUUUUGCCAUUUGUAACUAAUCAUUGGGACAUGAUCCUUUGGUUUCGCAUUGUUUGGACACCAUCUAGGUUUGAUGGAUGUUUAUUCUUUCUCAAUUUCGUUUCUCAUUUUUGGACGACAUUGUAGGUUUUUUCUAAGGUAAUUCAUUCUUUACUUUGGUUUGUCAUCAUGGGGACGCCCCCUAGGUGCUAUCUAAGCUUAAUUGUUUGUUCCUUUAAUAUCUCACCGUUUAGACACCAUCCUAGUCUUUGUGUAUGUUUAUACUUCAUCCAUUUUGUUUCCUAUCAUUGGAACACCAUUUAGGUUUAAUCUAAGUUCAUUUCUCUAUUCCACUCGUUUUUCAUCAUUGGGACAGCUUUCUAAGUUCUAUCUACGCUCAUUCCACUUUUCCAUUUGGAACUAACCAUUGUGACAUGAUCGUUUGGUUUCGCAUCAUUUGGACACCAUAUAGGUUUGAUGGAUGUUUAUUCUUUCUCAAUUUCGGACGACAUCGUAGGUUCUUUCUAAGGUCAUUCAUUUUUUACUUUGGUUUGUCAUCAUGGGGACGCCCCCUAGGCGCUAUCCAAGCUUAACUGUUUGUUCCUUUAAUUUCUCACCGUUUAGACACCAUCCUAGGUUUUGCGUAUGUUUAUACUUCAUCCAUUUUGUUUCCUAUCAUUGGAACACCAUCUAGGUUUAAUCUAAGUUCAUUUGUCUAUUCCACUCGUUUUUCAUCAUUGGGAAAGCUUUCUAGGUUCUAUCUAUGCUCAUUCCAUUUCUCCAUUUGUAACUAAUCAUUCGGACAUGAAGCUUUGGUUUCUCAUCGUUUUGACACCAUCAAGGUUUUAUUUUGAUUUGUCAUCAUUGGCACGCCCCUUUGGCCCUAUCUAAGCUCAUUACUUUUUUCGAUUUGUAACUAAUCAUUGGGACAUGAACCUUUGGUGUCUCAUCGUUUCGACACCAUCCCUUUGAUGGAAGUUUAUUCUUUGUCUAUUUGGUUUCUCAUUUUGGGAUAACAACGUAGGUUCUUUCUAAGGUCAUUCAUUCUUUACUUUGGUUUGUCAUCAUUGGGACGCCCAUUAGGCCCUAUCUAAGCUUAAUUGUUUGUUCCUUUAAGUUCUCACCGUUUAGACACGAUACUAGGUUCUAUCUUGGUUUAUUCUUCAUCCCUUUUGUUUCCUAUCAUUGGAACGCCAUCUAGGUUUUAUCAAAGAUCAUUUACUUGUUCUACUCAUUUUUCGUCAUUGGGACGCCCAUUUGGCCCUAUCUAAGAUUAAUUGUUUCUUCCUUUAAUUUCUCACCGUUUCGACACCAUCCUAGCUUCUGUCAAUGUUUAUUCUUCAUCGCGUUUGUAUCCUCUCAUUGGAACGCCAUAUAGAUUUUGCCUAAGUUCAUUUAUUUGUUCUACUCGUUUUUCUAGGUUCUAUCUAAGCUCAUUCGUUUUUUCCAUUUGUAACUAAUCAUUGUGACAUGAUCCUUUGGUUUCGCAUCGUUUGGACACCAUCUAGGUUUGAUGGAUGUUUAUUCUUUCUCAAUUUCGUUUCUCAUUUUUGGACUACAUCGUAGGUUCUUUCUAAGGUCAUUCAUUCUUUACUUUGGUUUGUCAUCAUGGGGACACCCCCUAGGCGCUAUCUAAGUAAUUGUUUCUUCCUUUAAUUUCUCACCGUUUAGACACCAUCAUAGAUUCUGCAUAUGUUUAUACGUCAUCCCUUUUGUUUCCUAUCAUUGGAACGCCAUCUAGAUUUUAUCUAAGUUCAUUUAGGUUUUCUGCUCGUUUUUCGUCAUUGGGACUGCUUUCUGGGUUCUAUCUAUGCGCAUUCCAUUUUUCCAUUUGGGACAUGAUCCUUGGUUUCUCAUUGUUUGGACACCAUCUAGGUUUUAUGGAAGUUUAUUCUUUCUGCAUUUGGUUUCUCUUUUGGGGACGACAUCGUAGGUUCUUUCUAAGGUUCUAUCUAAGCUCAUUCCUUUUUUCCAUUUGUAACUAAUCAUUGUGAUAUGAUCCUUUGGUUUUGCAUCGUUUGGACACCAUCUAGGUUUGAUGGAUGUUUAUUCUUUCUCAAUUUGGUUUCUCAUUUUUGGACGAUGUCGUAGGUUCUUUUUAAGGUCAUUCAUUCUUUACUUUGGUUUGUCAUCAUGGGGACGCCCCCUAGGCGCUAUCUAAGCUUAACUGUUUGUUCCUUUAAUUUUCAUCGUUUAGACACCAUCCUAGCUUCUGUCAAUGUUUAUUCUUCAUCCCUUUUGUUUCCUAUCAUUGAAACGCCAUAUAGAUUUUACCUAAGUUCAUUUAUUUGUUCUACUCGUUUUUCGUUAUUGGGAAAGCUUUCUACGUUCUAUCUAAGCUCAUUCCUUUUUUCCAUUUGUUACUAAUCAUUGGGACAUGAUCCUUUGGUUUUGCAUCGUUUGGACACCAUCUAGGUUUGAUGGAUGUUUAUUCUUUCUCAAUUUCGUUUCUCAUUUUUGGACGACAUCGGAGGUUCUUUCUAAGGUCAUUCAUUCUUUACUUUGGUUUGUCAUCAUGGGGACGCCCCCUAGGCGCUAUCUAAGUAAUUGUUUGUUCCUUUAAUUUCUCACCGUUUAGACACCAUCCUAGAUUCUGCGUAUGUUUAUACGUCAUCCCUUUUUUUUCCUAUCAUUGGAACGCCAUCUAGAUUUUAUCUAAGUUCAUUUAGGUUUUUUGCUCGUUUUUCGUCAUUGGGAUUGCUUUUUGGGUUCUAUCUAUGCGCAUUCCAUUUUUCCAUUUGGGACAUGAUCCUUGGUUUCUCAUUGUUUGGACACCAUCUAGGUUUUAUGGAAGUUCAUUCUUUCUCCAUUUGGUUUCUCAUUUUGGGAUGACAUCGUAGGUUCUUUCUAAGGUUCUAUCUAUGCUCAUUCUUCUUUUCCAUUUGUAACUAAUCAUUAAGACACGAACCUUUGGUUUCUCACUGGCCGGACACCAUCUAGGUCUGAUGGACGUUUAUUCUUUCUGCCAUUGGUUUCUCAUCUUUGGGACGACAUGGUAGGUUCUAUCUGAGGUCAUUCAUUCUUUACUUUGGUUUGUCAUCAUGGGGACACCCCUUGGGCUCUACCUAAGCUUAAUUAUAUGUUAUUAUAAUUUCCCAUCGUUUAGACACCAUGCUAGGUUCUAUCUAUAUUUAUUCGCCAUCCCUUUUUUUUCCUAUCAUUGGAACGCCUUCUAGAUUUUAUCUAAGUUCAUUUAGGUUUUCUACUCGUUUUUCGUCAUUGGGACUGGUCUCUAGGUUCUAUCUAUGCGCAUUCCAUUUUUCCAUUUGGGACAUGAUCCUUUGGUUUCUCAUUGUUUGGACAACAUCUAGGUUUUUUGGAAGUUUAUUGUUUCUCCAUUUGGUUUCUCAUUUUGGGUCGACAUCGUAGGUUCUUUCUAAGGUCAUGCAUUCUUUACUUUGGUUUGUCAUCAUUGGGACGCCCCUAGGCCCUAUCUAAGCUUAAUUGUUUGUUCCUUUAAUUUCUCUUCGUUUAGACACCAUCCUAGGUUCUACGUAUGUUUAUACUUCAUCCAUUUUGUUUCCUAUCAAUGGAACACCAUCUAGGUUUAAUCUAAGAUUAUUUGUCUGUUCCACUCGUUUUUCAUCAUUGGGAUAGCUUUCUAGGUUCUAUCUAUGCCCAUUCCAUUUUUCCAUUUGUAACUAUUCAUUGGGACACGAAACUUUGGUUUCUCAUUGGUUGGACACCAUCUAGGUUUGUUCGAAGCUUAUUCUUUCUCCCUUUGGUUUCUCAUCUUUCUGACCACAUCGUAGGUUUUAUCUAAGGUCAUUAAUGCUUUCCUUUGGUUUUCUUCCUUGGCACGCUCCCUACGCCCUAUCUCAGCUUAAUUAUUUGUUCCUUUAAUUUCUCAUCGUUUAGACAACACACUAGGUUCUAUCUAUAUUAAUUCUUCAUCCCUUUUGUUUCCUAUCAUUGGAACGCCAUCUAGAUUUUAUUUGUGGUCAUUUAUUUGUUCUACUCGUUUUUCGUCAUUGAGAAAGCUUUCUAGGUUCUAUCUAAGCUCAUUCCUUUUUUCCAUUUAUAACUAAUCAUUCGCACACGAAACUUCUGUUUCUCAUUUUUUGGACACCAUCUAGGUUUGAUCGAAGUUUAUUCUUUCUCCCUUUGGUUUCUCAUCUUUGGGACGACAUCGUAGGUUCUAUCUGAGGUCAUUCAUUCUUUACUUUGGUUUGUCAUCAUGGGGACACCCCUUGGGCUCUACCUAAGCUUAAUUAUAUGUUAUUAUAAUUUCCCAUCGUUUAGACACCAUGCUAGGUUCUAUCUAUAUUUAUUCGCCAUCCCUUUUGUUUCCUAUCAUUGGAACGCCAUCUAGAUUUUAUCUAAGUUCAUUUAGGUUUUCUACUCGUUUUUCGUCAUUGGGACUGCUUUCUAGGUUCUAUCUAUACGCAUUCCAUUUUUCCAUUUGGGACAUGAUCCUUUGGUUUCUCAUUGUUUGGACACCAUCUAGGUUUUAUGGAAGUUUAUUCUUUCUCCAUUUGGUUUCACAUUUUGGGUCGACAUCGUAGGUUCUUUCUAAGGUCAUGCAUUCUUUACUUUGGUUUGUCAUCAUUGGGACGCCCCUAGGCCCUAUCUAAGCUUAAUUGUUUGUUCCUUUAAUUUCUCUUCGUUUAGACACCAUCCUAGGUUCUGUGUAUGUUUAUACUUCAUCCAUUUUGUUUCCUAUCAAUGGAACACCAUCUAGGCUUAAUCUAAGAUUAUUUGUCUGUUCCACUCAUUUUUCAUCAUUGGGACAGCGUUCUAGGUUCUAUCUAUGCCCAUUCCAUUUUUCCAUUUGUAACUAAUCAUUGGGACACGAAACUUUGGUUUCUCAUUGGUUGGACACCAUCUGGGUUUGAUCGAAGUUUAUUCUUUCUCCCUUUGGUUUCUCAUCUUUCUGACCACAUCGUAGGUGUAAGGUCAUUAAUGCUUUUCUUUGGUUUGUCUUCCUUGGCACGCUCCCUAGGCCCUAUCUCAGCUUAAUUAUUUGUUCCUUUAAUUUCUCAUCGUUUAGACAGCACACUAGGUUCUAGCUAUAUUAAUUCUUCAUCCCUUUUGUUUCCUAUCAUUGGAACGCCAUCUAGAUUUUAUCUAUGGUCAUUUAUUUGCUCUAUUCGUUUUUCGUCAUUGAGAAAGCUUUCUAGGUUCUAUCUAAGGUCAUUCCUUUUUUCCAUUUAUAACUAGUCAUUGGCACACGAAACUUUGGUUUCUCACUGUUUGGAUACCAUCUUGGUUUGAUCGAAGCUUAUUCUUUCUCCCUUUGGUUUCUCAUCUUUCUGACGACAUUGUACUUUCUACCUAAGGUCAUUAAGCCUUCCUUUGGUUUGUCUUCAUUGGCACGCCCCCCCUAGGCCCUAUCUAAGCUUAAUUAAUUGUUCCUUUAAUUUCUCAUUGGGAUUGAUUUUUGGGUUCUAUCUAUGCGCAUUCCAUUUUUCCAUUUGGGACAUGAUCCUUGGUUUCUCAUUGUUUGGACACCAUCUAGGUUUUAUGGAAGUUUAUUCUUUCUCCAUUUGGUUUCUCAUUUUGGGACGACAUCGUAGGUUCUUUCUAAGGUUCUAUCUAUGCUCAUUCUUUUUUUCCAUUUGUAACUAAUCAUUAAGACACGAACCUUUGGUUUCUCAUUGGCCGGACACCAUCUAGGUCUGAUGGAAGUUUAUUCUUUCUGCCAUUGGUUUCUCAUCUUUGGGACGACAUCAUAGGUUCUAUCUGAGGUCAUUCAUUCUUUCCUUUGGUUUGUCAUCAUUGGCACACCCCUUGGGCUCUACCUAAGCUUAAUUUUGUGUUAUUAUAAUUUCCCAUCGUUUAGACACCAUGCUAGGUUCUAUCUAUAUUUAUUCGUCGUCCCUUUUGUUUCCUAUCAUUGGAACGCCAUCUAGAUUUUAUCUAAGUUCAUUUAGGUUUUCUACUCGUUUUUCGUCAUUGGGCCUGCUUUCUAGCUUCUAUCUAUGCGCAUUCCAUUUUUCCAUUUGGGACAUGAUCCUUUGGUUUCUCAUUGUUUGGACACCAUCUAGGUUUUAUGGAAGUUUAUUCUUUCUCCAUUUGGUUUCUCAUUUUGGGUCGACAUCGUAGGUUCUUUCUAAGGUCAUGCAUUCUUUACUUUGGUUUGUCAUCAUUGGGACGACCCUAGGCCCUAUCUAAGCUUAAUUUUUUGUUCCUUUAAUUUCUCUUUGUUUAGACACCAUCCUAGGUUCUGCGUAUGUUUAUACUUCAUCCAUUUUCUUUCCUAUCAAUGGAACACCAUCUAGGUUUAAUCUAAGAUUAUUUGUCUGUUCCACUUGUUUUUUGUCAUUGGGAUAGUUUUCUAGGUUCUAUCUAUGCCCAUUCCAUUUUUCCAUUUGUAACUAAUCAUUGGGACACGAAACAUUGGUUUCUCAUUGGUUGGACACCAUCUAGGUUUGAUGGAAGUUUAUUCUUUCUCCCUUUGUGACGACAUUGUAGGUUUUAUGUAAGGUCAUUCUUUCUUUUCUUUGGUUUGUCAUCAUUGGCACUCCCCUUAGGCCUUAUAUGAGCUUAAUUAUUUGUUCCUUUAAUUUCUCAUUGUUUAGACAACAUACUAGGUUCUAUCUAUAUUAAUUCUUCAUCCCUUUUGUUUCCUAUCAUUAGAACGCCAUCUAGAUUAUAUCUCAGGUCAUUUAUUUGUUCUACUCGUUUUCAUCAUUGGGACAGCUUUCUAGGUUAUCUAAGCUCAUUCCUUUUUUCAAUUUAUAACUAAUCAUUGGGACACGAAGCUUUGGUUUCUCACUGUUUGGACACCAUCUAGGUUUGAUCGAAGUUUAUUCUUUCUCCCUUUGGUUUCUCAUCUUUCUAACGAGAUUGUAGGUUCUAUCUAAGGUCAUUAAUGCUUUCCUUUGGUUUGUCUUCAUUGGCACGCCCCCUAGGCCCUAUCUAAGCUUAAUUAUGUGUUCCUUCAAUUUCUCCUCUUUUGGACACCAUCCUAGGUUCUAUCUAUGUUUAUUCUUCAUCCCUUUUGUUUCAUAUCAUUGGAAUGCCAUCUAGGAUUUAUCUAAGUUCAUUUGUUUGUUCCACUCGUUUUUCAUCAUUGGGACAGUUUUCUAGGUUCUAUCUAAGCUCAUUCUUUUUUUCGAUUUGUAACUAAUCAUUAAGACACGAACCUUUGGUUUCUCACUGGUUGGACACCAUCUAGGUCUGAUGGAAGUUUAUUCUUUCUGCCAUUGGUUUCUCAUCUUUGGGACGACAUCAUAGGUUCUAUCUGAGGUCAUUCAUUCUUUCCUUUGGUUUGUCAUCAUUGGCACACCCCGAGGCCCUAUCUAAGCUUAAUUGUUUGUUCCUUUAAUUUCUCAUUGUUUGGACACCAUCCAAGGUUCUAUCUAUGUUUAUUCUUGAUCCCUUUUGUUUCCUAUCAUUGGAUUGGCAUCUAGGUUUUAUCUAAGUUCAUUUGUGUGCUCCACUUGUUUUUCAUCAAUCGAACAGCUUUCUAGGUUCUAUCUGAGCUCAUUCCUUUUUUCCAUUUGUAACUAAUCAUUGGGACAUGAUCCUUUGGUUUCUCAUUGUUUGGACACCAUCUAGGUUUUAUGGAAGUUUAUUCUUUCUCCCUUUGGUUUCUCAUAUUGGGGACGACAUCAUAGGUUUUUUCUAAGGUCAUUCAUUCUUUUCUUUCGUUUGUCAUCAUUGGGACGCCCCCUAGGCCCUAUCUAAGCUUAAUUGUUUGUUCCUUUAAUUUCUCAUCGUUUGGACACCAUCCUAGGUUUUAUCUAUGUUAAUUCUUCAUCCCUUUUGUUUCCUAUCAUUCGAACGCCAUCUAGGUAUUAUCUAAGUUCAUUUGUUUCUUCCACUUGCUUUUCAUCAUUAGGACAGCUUUCUAGUUUCUAUCUAAGCUCAUUCCUUUUUUCCAUUUGUAACUAAUCUUUGGGACAUGAUCCUUUGGUUUCUCAUCGUUUGGACACCACCUAGGUUUUAUGGAAGUUUAUUCUUUCUCCCUUUGGUUUCUCAUCUUUGGGACGACAUUGUAGCUUCUUUCUAAGGUCAUUCGUUCUUUCCUUUUGUUUUUCAUCAUUGGGAUGCCCCCUAAGCUUAAUUGUUUGUUCCUUUAAUGUCUCAUCGUUUGGACACCAUCCUAGGUUUUGUCUAUGUUUAUUCUUCAUCCCUUUUGUUUCCUAUCAUUGGAACGCCAUUUUGGAUUUAUCUGAGUUCAUUUGUUUGUUCCACUCGUUUUUAACCAUUGGGACAACUUUCUAGGUUCUAUCUAAGCUCAUUCUUUUUUUCCAUUUGUAACUAAUCAUUAGGACAAAAUCCUUUGGUUUCUCAUCGUUUGGUAACCAUCUAGGUUUUAUGGAAGUUUAUUCUUUCUCCCUUUGGUUUCUAAUAUUGAGGAUGACAUCGUAGGUUUAAGGUCAUUCAUUCUUUCCUUCGUUUGUCAUCAUUGGGACACCCCCUUGGCCUAUCUAAGCUUAAUUGUUUGUUCCUUUAAUUUCUCAUCGUUUGGACACCAUCCUAGGUUUUGUCUAUGUUUAUUCUUCAUCCCUUUUGUUUCCUAUCAUUGGAUUGCCAUCUAGGUUUUAUCUAAGUUCAUUUGUUUGUUCCACUUGUUUUUCAUCAUUGGGACAGCUUUCUAGGUUCUAUCUAAGCUCAUUUCUUUUUUCCAUUUCUAACUAAUCAUUGGGACAUGAUCCUUUGGUUUCUCAUUGUUUGGACACCACCUAGGUUUUAUGGAAGCUUAUUCUUUCUCCCUUUGGUUUCUCAUCUUUGGGACGACAUCAUAGCUUCUUUCUAAGGUCAUUCAUUCUUUCCUUGGGCUUGUCAUCAUCGGGAUGCCCCCUAGGGCUUAUCUAAGCUUAAUUGUUUGUUCCUUUAAUUUCUCAUUGUUUGGACACCAUCCUAGGUUCUAUCUAUGUUUAUUCUUCAUCCUUUUUGUUUCCUAUCAUUGGAACGCCAUCUAGGUUUUAUCUAAUUUCAUUUGGUUGUUCCACUUGUUUUUCAUCAUUGGGACAUUCCUUUGGUUUCUCAUCGUUUGGACACCAUCUAGUUUAUUCUUUCUCCCUUUUGUUUUUCAUCUUUGGGACGACAUCAUAGGUUCUAUCUAAGGUCAUUCAUUCUUUCCUUGGGUUUGUCAUCAUUGGGACGCCCCCUAGGCCCUAUCUAAGGUUAAUUGUUUUUUCCUUUAAUUUCUCGUCGUUUGGACACUAUCUUAGGUUCUAUCUAUGUUUAUUCUUCAUCCCUUUUGUUCCUUUCAUUGGAACGCCAUCUAGGUUUUAUCUAAGUUCAUUUGUUUGUUCCACUUGUUUUCAUCAUUGGGAUAGCUUUCUAGGUUCUAUCUAAGCUCAUUUCUUUUUUCCAUUUGUAAGUAAUCAUUGGGAUAUGAUCCUUUGGUUUCUCAUCAUUUGGACACCAUCCCAGGUUCUAUAUAAGUUUAUUCUUUGUUCCUCCCGUUUCUUAUUAUUUUGACACCAUCUUAGGUUUUAUCUAAACUUAAUAUUUUGUUUCUUUGAUUUUUUUUAUCAUUGGGACACCAUUGUAGGUUCUAUGUGAUAUUAUUUUUUGUUCCUUUGGUUUCUCAUCAUUCUAAUGUCAUGAUAAGUUCUAUCUAAGCCUACUCAUUUGUUCCUUUGGUUUCUCUUCCUUGGGAUGCCAUUCUAGGUUUUGUCUUAGUUUUUUUCUUUAGUUUUUUUGUUUAAUCAUUAUCUGAACUUCAUUCCAAUUCAAAUAUAUUGUUUUCUUCUUUAUUUAGCUUUAUAUAAAAUAUAAGAAACUAUAAUACACUGUGCAAAUUAAGUACUCUGACUGAGGAAUAAUCUAUGAAUUAAUUUGAAGUCAUAUUGAAAUAACAAAACACCUAGCACAAACAAUCCAAUCAUACCCAAUGUAAAAACAUUUGGCUGAAUUAUGGCAACCUCACCUUGGAUUUCUAAAAAUUGAUAAGAACAUUUGGCUGAAAUGAAUUUAUGGUAUAUACGAUGAGAGGUGGUUCAUUGAUGUAUACUCAUGCGUUAUUUGAUGCCAAGCAUGAUUUCAAGAUUACUAUACGAAACAACAUAGAAUUCUUACCAGUUGAAGAUGCUCACUAAACCUUAAAGCAGUUACGGCCAGACGUUCAAAAUGAAAAGCCAUCCGUUGAAUGGACAGAUUUGAAGCAGCAAAUAAGAAACAUAAACUGUAAUCGCUUGAAAGAAUUUUUACCUGUUGAAGAUUCUACAAUCCUUGGAGCAUCCAUGCCCAAACCUUCAAAAUGAAAAGUCAUCUCCAAUAGGCAAAUUUGAAGCAACAAAUGAGAAACUUAAACAAUAAUAGCAUGUUAGAAUUUUUAGGAAAAAAGAGUAUCACCUUUAUAUUUUAAAAAAAAAAAACAUUGAAUUGUAUUAUAAGUAUCACUGUAGUGGGAAUAAUAUAUCACUGCUCUUUGGUUUAUGGUAAGAUAUGCAAAAUUUUUAAUUUUUAAUAAAAUGAAAAGAAAAUUAAUAUAAAUGAUUAAAUACAAAUUCUUUGUGAAAAUUGUAUUUUAUUUUUUAUUUUAUAUAAUAAGAAAAUUAAAAAUUUUAACAAAUGAAAAUGGUAUAACCUCAACCAAGUUUUUAUCUUCUUUAAUAAAAAAUAUUAAACAUUUUAAUCAAGAAAAAAAGAUAAAACCAUGGUGAAUAUUAAGUAAAAAAAUUCAAUUUCUUUAUUAUAUAUUUAUUUUUAUAUUUUUCUCAUUAAUGAUUUAUUAUAUGUUAUUAUUAUUAUUUUAUAUGUAAAGUGUUCAUAAAUAUUUUAAAAAAAAUGAAAGAGUGAAAAAAAAAUGAAAUUUAAAAUAUUUUGAGAAUGAGUAACUAGUAUAUUCUAAAAAAAUCCAAAAGGUAUAAAAUGAAGAAAGAAGAAAUAAAAAAAAAAAAAAAAAUUAAUGUUGCAUGUUGAUCCCCACAUGAUAUUCGAAUUUUGUUUAUGCUAUUACUUGUCGGGGAAUUUUUGGCGCUGGUUUUGGGAGGACUCUUGAAGGGGUUUCAAACAGCAUUUCACAAAGGCAAAAAGGGAGACCAUUUCAAACAGCAUUUCAAAAAGGCAACAAGGGAGAGAAUGCAUAUGAUACCUGUUAGAGAAGUACACCAAGCAUGACAGGAUCAGAUCAGGAGGGCUUUGGGAAUUCUCGAGGGUUCUUGGCAGGAGUUCUUCAGCUCAUCGUCCUUGAUCACCAGGAAUUUAUCAUCGUCAUCGGUACACAUUUGGAGUUUUUCGGGAUUUUUCCAGAAGCUAGAUCUUUUCUAGAGACGUGCGUCUCCACCACUAGCAGGGAGAAUCAUCUUCACAGGCGCGCCAUCA